This 30-nucleotide non-coding RNA is filed under the name Mus musculus (house mouse). Lineage: Eukaryota; Metazoa; Chordata; Mammalia; Rodentia; Muridae. The record is from RNAcentral.
AAGCUUCAUGAUUAGGAACAAGAGCUCGUG